RNAcentral lists this ribosomal RNA (1246 nucleotides) under Colletotrichum gloeosporioides. Its description in RNAcentral is "LSU rRNA". It matches the Rfam family "Eukaryotic large subunit ribosomal RNA", at positions 80 to 1358 of the family's 3401-position model. Lineage: Eukaryota; Fungi; Ascomycota; Sordariomycetes; Glomerellales; Glomerellaceae. The record is from RNAcentral.
UCAGUAACGGCGAGUGAAGCGGCAACAGCUCAAAUUUGAAAUCUGGCCCUAGGCCCGAGUUGUAAUUUGCAGAGGAUGCUUUUGGUGCGGUGCCUUCCAAGUUCCCUAGAACGGGACGCCAGAGAGGGUGAGAGCCCCGUACAGUUGGACACCAAGCCUUUGUAAAGCUCCUUCGACGAGUCGAGUAGUUUGGGAAUGCUGCUCAAAAUGGGAGGUAUAUUUCUUCUAAAGCUAAAUACCGGCCAGAGACCGAUAGCGCACAAGUAGAGUGAUCGAAAGAUGAAAAGCACUUUGAAAAGAGGGUUAAACAGCACGUGAAAUUGUUAAAAGGGAAGCGCUUGUGACCAGACUUGCGUCCGGUGAAUCACCCAGCUCUCGCGGCUGGGGCACUUCGCCGGCUCAGGCCAGCAUCAGCUCGCUGUCGGGGACAAAAGCUUCAGGAACGUAGCUCUCUUCGGGGAGUGUUAUAGCCUGUUGCACAAUACCCUUCGGCGGGCUGAGGUACGCGCUCCGCAAGGAUGCUGGCAUAAUGGUCAUCAGCGACCCGUCUUGAAACACGGACCAAGGAGUCAACCUUAUGUGCGAGUGUUCGGGUGUCAAACCCCUACGCGUAAUGAAAGUGAACGCAGGUGAGAGCUUCGGCGCAUCAUCGACCGAUCCUGAUGUUCUCGGAUGGAUUUGAGUAAGAGCAUAUAGGGUUGGACCCGAAAGAAGGUGAACUAUGCGUGUAUAGGGUGAAGCCAGAGGAAACUCUGGUGGAGGCUCGCAGCGGUUCUGACGUGCAAAUCGAUCGUCAAAUAUGCGCAUGGGGGCGAAAGACUAAUCGAACCUUCUAGUAGCUGGUUUCCGCCGAAGUUUCCCUCAGGAUAGCAGUGUUGAACUCAGUUUUAUGAGGUAAAGCGAAUGAUUAGGGACUCGGGGGCGCUAUAUUGCCUUCAUCCAUUCUCAAACUUUAAAUAUGUAAGAAGCCCUUGUUGCUUAAUUGAACGUGGGCAUUCGAAUGUAUCAACACUAGUGGGCCAUUUUUGGUAAGCAGAACUGGCGAUGCGGGAUGAACCGAACGCGAGGUUAAGGUGCCAGAGUAGACGCUCAUCAGACACCACAAAAGGUGUUAGUACAUCUUGACAGCAGGACGGUGGCCAUGGAAGUCGGAAUCCGCUAAGGACUGUGUAACAACUCACCUGCCGAAUGUACUAGCCCUGAAAAUGGAUGGCGCUCAAGCGUCUCACCCAUACCUCGCCCUCAG